CCGGCGGGGCGGUGAUGCAGCUGGCGGCUCAUGCUGGGGGGACGGGCUGCGGAGCGCGACGCGAGGGUUAUCACGGCCAAGAUCUAUGGUAGAAGCUUCCACUGGGUCUGGCUAGGGGGUGGCAGAAGACACCCUCCCACCAGGUGGAGGAGCGUGCUAUAGGGGAGCAGAUGUCCAGGCCAGCUCUGCUUCAGAAGGACAUGAACAGGAUCAAGAAUAUUCCAGAGAAUCAUCCUUAGCCUGUCAGCUAGCUACUGCUUCCCCCAGACAUCCAGAAGAGGAUGGCUCUAUCCUGAGUACUGGGUCCCAGAGGAAGAGAAUCAUCCAUCCCAUCCCAGGAACCCCCAAUCAGAACAUUCGUUGCCCUGGCAUUUCUGAUUUUGGAUCAAAAUGUGACUGAGUAUUAAGAACAAGUUGAGAGGGGCACCUGGGUGGCUCAGUGGGUUAAAGCCGCUGCCUUCGGCUCAGGUCAUGAUCUCAGGGUCCUGGGAUCGAGUUCCGCAUCGGGCUCUCUGCUCAGCAGGGAGACUGCUUCCUUCUCUCUCUGCCUGCCUCUCUGCCUACU
Molecule: long non-coding RNA, 565 nt
Organism: Mustela lutreola (European mink)
Lineage: Eukaryota; Metazoa; Chordata; Mammalia; Carnivora; Mustelidae
Exons: 3
Source: RefSeq, a predicted model, not a curated record